UACGGGCCGGACAAACGUUAUUCGGAAUCACUGGGCUUAAAGAGUGCGUAGGCGGCCAUGCAAGUUGGGUGUGAAAUCCCUCGGCUCAACCGAGGAAUAGCGCCCAAAACUGUAUGGCUCGAGGAAGACAGGGGUGAGCGGAACUGAUGGUGGAGCGGUGAAAUGCGUUGAUAUCAUCAGGAACACCGGUGGCGAAGGCGGCUCACUGGGUCUUUUCUGACGCUGAGGUACGAAAGCUAGGGUAGCGAACGGG
This 253-nucleotide ribosomal RNA is filed under the name uncultured bacterium. RNAcentral describes it as "partial 16S ribosomal RNA". It matches the Rfam family "Bacterial small subunit ribosomal RNA", at positions 524 to 776 of the family's 1533-position model. The record is from RNAcentral.